UACGGGGGGUGCAAGCGUUGUUCGGAUUUAUUGGGCGUAAAGCGCGUGUAGGCGGUUUGUUAAGUCUGAUGUGAAAGCCCUGGGCUCAACCCAGGAAGUGCAUUGGAUACUGGCAGACUUGAAUACGGGAGAGGGUAGUGGAAUUCCUGGUGUAGGAGUGAAAUCCGUAGAUAUCAGGAGGAACACCGGUGGCGAAGGCGGCUGCCUGGACCGAUAUUGACGCUGAGACGCGAAAGCGUGGGUAGCAAACAGG
This 253-nucleotide ribosomal RNA is filed under the name uncultured bacterium. Its description in RNAcentral is "partial 16S ribosomal RNA". It matches the Rfam family "Bacterial small subunit ribosomal RNA", at positions 524 to 776 of the family's 1533-position model. The record is from RNAcentral. RNAcentral also lists the same sequence under 2 other names.